Molecule: long non-coding RNA, 1783 nt
Filed under: Homo sapiens (human)
Lineage: Eukaryota; Metazoa; Chordata; Mammalia; Primates; Hominidae
Description: HSALNT0194771
Source: RNAcentral
UCCUACCACUCAGAGAGAACCACACUAACAUUUUGUUUCCUUUCAAAUUUGGUACUGUUUUCUAAUUAUCACAAUUCACACAAAUUAUCUCCUCAUUCUUUCAUUCAGUCCACAGCUAUAGAGCUGAGUGCUGGUGUGUGCGGUUCAGAUUCUCACUGCACUGAGAGUACCCAGAAGAACAAGUUCACUGGAGUUCAGAGCAGUUAGAUGUGGGAGACUUGACUUGGGCAACCUGAAUGGAGAAAGAGGGAAUAAGGAUGGCUUCCACAGAGCAGAAGGGCCUGCACCAGGAAGAUUGCAGGUAUUGUAGAUAUCUGGUUCUUUGACUUAUUCAGCAUUCAUUCCUCACUUCUUUUUUUUUCCUUUUUCUUUUUCUUUUUUUUUUUUUAAGAUGGAGUCUCGCUCUGUCACCCAGGCUUGAGUGCAGUGGUGAGAUCUCGUUUUACUGCAACCUCCACCUCUGGGGUUCAAGUGAUUCUCGUGCCUCAGCCUCCCGAGUAGCUGGGAAGGCGCGCGCCACCAGGCCCGGCUAAUUUUUGAAUUUUUAGUAGAGACGGGGUUUCACCAUAUUGGCCAGGCUGGUCUUGAACUCCUGACCUCAGGUGACCCGCCCACUUCGGCCUCCGAAAGUGCUGGGAUUAAAGGCGUGAGGUACCGUUCCGGCCUCAUUCCCCACUUCUGAGAAGAGCACCUGGCUUUCCUUUGGAGGAGUCAUUCCUUCCCCACCAUCAGCCCUCAGCUCCUGCUUGGGUGCAGCUAACCCUACCCCUCGGUUCCAGGUGGUCACAUGACCCAACUCUGGUCAAUCCCUCCCACCAGUGAUUGGCUCACAGCUGGGCACAUGACUAGAUCAGGCCAAUCAAGACCAAGGAGACUCUGUUCCAUCUGUGGGGCCUGCCUAGAAAGGGAAACUCUCUCUCCAUUGGAUUUGGAGCUAUAAGGAUGAAGCCUGGAGCUGCUGGUGGCUGCUUUUCUAUCAGGAGCAGAGAGAGGAUACUGGGAAAUAAAGCCAACACGGUAAAGGGAAUAGCUGAGAGAUGGAGGAAGUGUGACCACCCUGAGGGAAACCUUGGAGCUUCUCCAGCCAGUUGUAUUGAAGUCCAUGGCUUCUACGGAUUUCCGUUCACAGAAAUUUGCAAUCACAGACAUCUUUAGAUCUAUGUCCAGCUGCGUUCAUUUCACAUAUUCAGAAAUGAAGCCUAAAGAUCUGAACCCAGAAGCCAGACCUCCAGACUGCCAGUCAGUUUCCUCCCCCAUCCACUCUGAUUUAUUAAGCAGUUAGGCUGGCCCUUCCCGACCCUUCCUACACAGUGGCAGAGCUUUUGCUCCUCUACCCACUGGAAUCUACACUGGUCCCAGCCCCUCAUUCAACUCCCGUGGGACGCCAAGCAAUACGGAGUUCGGAGUUUGAGAAGCACGGAAAUCUCCUGAACCCCACCACGAGUCCACACUAGGCGGAUGAGAUAAUGAAGUCUACAACCAUCCAAACUCAAAAUCAUCUGUUGUCAAGGAAAUACAGUUUCACAUUGCAGUGCCCCUGGCUCAGUGCCUGAGGCGUAACAGGUCCUCAAUCUUUGUUGAAUGAAUGCAUGAGAAAUGAAGGAUUAUUUACUCAUUAACUACUAAUCUGUGUGCUUUGGAGAGAUAUUGGAAACUCUUGAGAAAUAGGCCUGGCCUUUUCCUUUUUAUUUGCAACGAGGAAUUUUGUUCGUCAAAUAAAUGACCUUAAAGGAUUGAGACCGCUGCCAAGCCACAGAAUCGGAGUCGAGAGGCCUGACUCAGA